GACGAACACUGGCGGCGUGCUUAACACAUGCAAGUCGAACGGAAAGGCCCUGCUUUUGUGGGGUGCUCGAGUGGCGAACGGGUGAGUAACACGUGAGUAACCUGCCCUUGACUUUGGGAUAACUUCAGGAAACUGGGGCUAAUACCGGAUAGGAGCUCCUGCUGCAUGGUGGGGGUUGGAAAGUUUCGGCGGUUGGGGAUGGACUCGCGGCUUAUCAGCUUGUUGGUGGGGUAGUGGCUUACCAAGGCUUUGACGGGUAGCCGGCCUGAGAGGGUGACCGGCCACAUUGGGACUGAGAUACGGCCCAGACUCCUACGGGAGGCAGCAGUGGGGAACAUUGCACAAUGGGCGGAAGCCUGAUGCAGCAACGCCGCGUGCGGGAUGACGGCCUUCGGGUUGUAAACCGCUUUCGCCUGUGACGAAGCGUGAGUGACGGUAAUGGGUAAAGAAGCACCGGCUAACUACGUG
Molecule: ribosomal RNA, 468 nt
Filed under: uncultured bacterium
Lineage: Bacteria
Description: partial 16S ribosomal RNA
Rfam family: Bacterial small subunit ribosomal RNA
Source: RNAcentral